Molecule: ribosomal RNA, 399 nt
Filed under: uncultured bacterium
Lineage: Bacteria
Description: bacterial SSU rRNA
Rfam family: Bacterial small subunit ribosomal RNA
Source: RNAcentral
AAUCAACGCUGGCGGCGUGCCUAACACAUGCAAGUCGAACGAGAAAGUGACUUCGGUCACUGGACAGUGGCGUCCGGGUGAGUAACACGUGGGUAAUCUACCUUCGGGUGGGGAAUAACGUCUCGAAAGAGACGCUAAUACCGCAUAAUGCAGCGGCACCUUAUGGUGAAUAGUUGUUAAAGCGGGGGAUCGCAAGACCUCGCGCCUGAAGAGGAGCCUGCGGCAGAUUAGCUAGUUGGUGAGGUAAUGGCUCACCAAGGCUGCGAUCUGUAGCUGGUCUGAGAGGGCGACCGGCCACACUGGGACUGAGACACGGCCCAGACUCCUACGGGAGGCAGCAGUGGGGAAUCUUGCGCAAUGGGCGAAAGCCUGACGCAGCGACGCCGCGUGAGGGAUGAC